Molecule: long non-coding RNA, 545 nt
Filed under: Parus major (Great Tit)
Lineage: Eukaryota; Metazoa; Chordata; Aves; Passeriformes; Paridae
Description: lncRNA (ENSPMJG00000012115.1)
Source: RNAcentral
GGCCCCUUUUCUCAGGGAUAGCCUAACAUCUGACCGCACCCUCUUUGCUUUUUAAAAAAUGCCUUUUCACUCUUUAAGAUAAAUCCUCUAUUAUACAAUCUGCCACUAAUUGUGUGUUAAGACUGUUUUUCUCUCGAAAGCUGACGCAUCCUGCUCUCAACAUGGUCUAGAAAGCAGGCUGUUACAGUACUGGAUUAAUAAAAGGGGCCUUUAUGGUUUGUGAAAGAAUAUCUCUGUGCUUAGGCAGGAAACUUUUUGAUCCACAGCAAAGCCAGACGACAUCUAGAGCAAGAGAGGCCAACUUGAAGAGCAUGCAUAUUGUGAUACCCUCAGUGGUGUCUUUUACAAUAUGUUCUGCUUCAACCAGUGAAUUUUGUUCAAUUGGCCAGUGAAAGAAAAAUUAAAAGGAAAAAGGAAAGUGAAGAAAUUAAUUAUACCAGAUUUCAGCGAAGGUAAUACAGUGAUCUUAAAUACAUUUUUUCUUUUUUUUUUCUUUUCUUUUUUUUUUUUUUAUACAAUAAAGCUAUUGGCAAGAACCUGAAGCA